ACCCGCUGAACUUAAGCAUAUCAAUAAGCGGAGGAAAAGAAACCAACAGGGAUCGCCCUAGUAACGGCGAGUGAAGCGGCAACAGCUCAAAUUUGAAAUCUGGCUCUUUUAGAGUCCGAGUUGUAAUUUGCAGAGGGCGCUUUGGCUUUGGCAGCGGUCCAAGUUCCUUGGAACAGGACGUCACAGAGGGUGAGAAUCCCGUACGUGGUCGCUGGCUAUUGCCGUGUAAAGCCCCUUCGACGAGUCGAGUUGUUUGGGAAUGCAGCUCUAAAUGGGAGGUACAUUUCUUCUAAAGCUAAAUAUUGGCCAGAGACCGAUAGCGCACAAGUAGAGUGAUCGAAAGAUGAAAAGCACUUUGGAAAGAGAGUCAAACAGCACGUGAAAUUGUUGAAAGGGAAGCGCUUGCAGCCAGACUUGCUUACAGUUGCUCAUCCGGGUUUCUACCCGGUGCACUCUUCUGUAGGCAGGCCAGCAUCAGUUUGGGCGGUAGGAUAAAGGUCUCUGUCACGUACCUCCUUUCGGGGAGGUCUUAUAGGGGAGACGACAUACUACCAGCCUGGACUGAGGUCCGCGCAUCUGCUAGGAUGCUGGCGUAAUGGCUGU
Molecule: ribosomal RNA, 603 nt
Filed under: uncultured fungus
Lineage: Eukaryota; Fungi
Description: eukaryotic LSU rRNA
Rfam family: Eukaryotic large subunit ribosomal RNA
Source: RNAcentral